This 233-nucleotide long non-coding RNA is filed under the name Vitis vinifera (wine grape). Its description in RNAcentral is "long non-coding RNA (VVIN_LNC004271)". The record is from RNAcentral. Lineage: Eukaryota; Viridiplantae; Streptophyta; Magnoliopsida; Vitales; Vitaceae.
UUUGUGUUUGCCAUAUGAUAGGAGAAAGGAGAAUAUGGCCUAAUUCUCCAUUUGGUUGCCCAGAAAAUGGUUGAAAUUUAGAAGAAAAACUAAAAUUUUAUUCUUGGGUGUUUUUAUUUGUGAUGUUGAAAGUUUUUGUUUCAUUGAACUGACGGGAACAGGAGGAUAUUGCCUAAUCCCCUGUUUGGUUGCCAAGAAAAUGGAGGGAAGUUUGAAGAAAAUAUAAAAUUUGC